AUGGCCGCCAUAGGCCGACAAUAAAAAGACGUUUAUGACAAAAAGUAAUUAAAUAAUAGUUAAAAUUGUUAUCAAAACAUAAACAAAGUUAUAUUAGUGGGAAAACUAUAACAUUUAUCAAUCAUCUAACUUUAUAGUUAUAGAACAUAUUACUGCCAUAACAUAAAUACGUAAAGAAUUAUCAAAUUACUGUUGGCAAGAUGAUAAGGUUACCAAGUAAAAUAUUAAUCCGCAGAUAUGUAUCAACAAGCGUACCUAGAAAAGCUCAGAAAAGUGAUGAGAAUGAUAGAAAAAGCGAAUUUAUUGUUAGUUUUGAAAAGCAUCACAUAGAACUGACACCUUUACAGCGUUUAGUUCUCACGGGGGGUUCAGCUAUUGUUUCACUUGUCGAUCCAUUCCGAGGAGAUAUGAUUGCAUGUCUUGGAGAAACAACAGGAAACCGAGCAUUGGAAUAUUGUUACGAACGAAUGCAGUCAUCAGCAGAAGGACGGAGAAUUCUUGCUGAACAACCACGAAUUAAUACAUCAACUCUUGAUAUACAGAAAUUAGAGCAAAUGCCUGAAGGAUGUCUUGGGAAAAUUUAUUACGAUUUUUUAAAAGCCAAUGAUGUUAGCCCAGACUCCAGGGACCAUGUAAAAUUUGUCGAUAAUGUUGAACUGGCCUAUGUUAUGCAGCGAUAUCGUGAAGUACAUGAUAUUUUCCAUGCUGUCCUGUUGAUGCCGACGACGAUGCUUGGUGAGGUAGCUGUAAAGUGGGUCGAAGCUUUUCAAACCAGGUUGCCUAUGUGUAUUGGAGCUGCACUAUUUGGUGCUGCACGUUUGCGUUCAAAACAGAGAAAAUUAUAUUACGAAUAUCAUUUACCUUGGGCUAUAAAUAUUGGAAAAAAUUCUGGCUUUUUACUGAGUAUAUACUUUGAAGAACGUUGGGAGCAACCGCUUGAUGACUUUCACAAAGAAAUGAAGAUUCAACGACUCGUGUAAUCAUAGUUGAAAAACACUUGUAUUUAGUAAAAAAACAUAGCUGAAGAUGGAGAAAAUAAUUUUCACAAACAAUAGAUGAAGAUAAACCUAGUUGAGCAUAAGUUAGUGGCCAGAGCAUCCCUCGACGGGUGGAUAAUUGUAGAAAGAGGUGAAUGCUUCAUAGCUGAUUGUGUCAAGUUAUUUUGGUCCUGCUACAUGCCAAAGCAACUUAAUUGAUUUACCUGGCAUUCUGAGGGCCAACAGAUUUGGUUUCAUAACUAGAAGACGCAGAAAUGGCAUCAUCGGGAAUUUUUCCCUCUUCCAUACCCAAAGGGAGGACACAUUGGGCUGAAAAAUAUAAUAAAUUAGUAAUUCAUCAGAUAGAACUAGGAUGAGGUAGUGAGGAAAGUGAACACAUCGGGUAUUCACCAGAGGGAACAUAGAAGAGGUAUGCGGGGUGCAAGAGGAGAGAAUGAAACAAUCGCACAGAAGGUAACGCUGGUUGGGUUGGUGUGGCGAUGUUUAAUAAU
Chelonus insularis is the source of this 1489-nucleotide RNA transcript. It is a transcript of the gene named Coenzyme Q4, with no coding region annotated. The transcript is spliced from 6 exons. The record is from RefSeq and is a predicted model, not a curated record. Lineage: Eukaryota; Metazoa; Arthropoda; Insecta; Hymenoptera; Braconidae.